AAUUAUACAAUUCUUUAAAAACAAUUAAAGCAAUUCCAAAGCUUGUUGCUGUAGAAAAAAAAAGCCAGGUU
Pangasianodon gigas (Mekong giant catfish) is the source of this 71-nucleotide non-coding RNA. NCBI's taxonomy places the organism in Eukaryota, Metazoa, Chordata, Actinopteri, Siluriformes, Pangasiidae. The record is from the annotation of a GenBank genome assembly.